UCGAAAGCCUGUCUCAGUUCGGAUUGGAGGCUGAAACCCGCCUCCAUGAAGUUGGAUUCGCUAGUAAUCGCGCAUCAGCCAUGGCGCGGUGAAUACGUUCCCGGGCCUUGUACACACCGCCCGUCAAGCCAUGGGAGCCGGGGGCGCCUGAAGUCCGGGACCGCGAGGACCGGCCUAGGGCGAAACUGGUAACUGGGGCUAAGUCGUAACAAGGUAGC
RNAcentral lists this ribosomal RNA (218 nucleotides) under uncultured bacterium. RNAcentral describes it as "partial 16S ribosomal RNA". It matches the Rfam family "Bacterial small subunit ribosomal RNA", at positions 1275 to 1500 of the family's 1533-position model. The record is from RNAcentral.